This 211-nucleotide ribosomal RNA is filed under the name uncultured bacterium. RNAcentral's name for it is "partial 16S ribosomal RNA". It matches the Rfam family "Bacterial small subunit ribosomal RNA", at positions 524 to 734 of the family's 1533-position model. The record is from RNAcentral.
UACGUAGGGGGCAAGCGUUGUCCGGAUUUAUUGGGCGUAAAGAGCGUGUAGGCGGCCUGAAAGGUCAGCUGUGAAAACUCGAGGCUUAACCUCGAGACGUCGGUUGAAACCAUCUGGCUAGAGUCCGGAAGAGGAGUGUGGAAUUCCCGGUGUAGCGGUGAAAUGCGCAGAUAUCGGGAAGAACACCCGUGGCGAAGGCGGCACUCUGGGA